Molecule: small nuclear RNA, 193 nt
Filed under: Haliotis rubra (blacklip abalone)
Lineage: Eukaryota; Metazoa; Mollusca; Gastropoda; Lepetellida; Haliotidae
Description: U2 spliceosomal RNA
Rfam family: U2 spliceosomal RNA
About the family: U2 is a small nuclear RNA (snRNA) component of the spliceosome (involved in pre-mRNA splicing).
Source: RNAcentral
UUCGCUUCUCGGCCUUUUGGCUAAGAUCAAAGUGUAGUAUCUGUUCUUAUCAGCUUAAUAUCUGAUAGGUCCCCCAUUUGGGGACAUCGAUAUUAAACUGAUUUUUGGUACUCGGCGAAGAGUCAGGGGCUUGCUCCGCCUUUGCCACGGGUUGACCUGGUAUUGCAGUACCUCCAGGACCGGCCCACUCCUC